RNAcentral lists this ribosomal RNA (302 nucleotides) under uncultured bacterium. RNAcentral describes it as "partial 16S ribosomal RNA". It matches the Rfam family "Bacterial small subunit ribosomal RNA", at positions 508 to 807 of the family's 1533-position model. The record is from RNAcentral.
GCAGUCGCCGCGGGAAUACGUAGGGUGCAAGCGUUAAUCGGAAUUACUGGGCGUAAAGCGUGCGCAGGCGGUUAUAUAAGACAGAUGUGAAAUCCCCGGGCUCAACCUGGGACCUGCAUUUGUGACUGUAUAGCUAGAGUACGGUAGAGGGGGAUGGAAUUCCGCGUGUAGCAGUGAAAUGCGUAGAUAUGCGGAGGAACGCCGAUGGCGAAGGCAAUCCCCUGGACCUGUACUGACGCUCAUGCACGAAAGCGUGGGGAGCAAACAGGAUUAGAGACCCCAGUAGUCCCUGUCUCUUAUAC